GACGAACGCUGGCGGCGUGCUUAACACAUGCAAGUCGAGCGGUAAGGCCCUUUCGGGGGUACACGAGCGGCGAACGGGUGAGUAACACGUGGGUGACCUGCCCUUAGCUCUGGGAUAAGCCUGGGAAACUGGGUCUAAUACCGGAUAUGACUCCAUGAUGCAUGUUGUGGGGUGGAAAGCCUUGUGCGGCUAGGGAUGGGCCCGCGGCCUAUCAGCUUGUUGGUGGGGUGANGGCCUACCAAGGCGACGACGGGUAGCCGGCCUGAGAGGGCGACCGGCCACACUGGGACUGAGACACGGCCCAGACUCCUACGGGAGGCAGCAGUGGGGAAUCUUGCGCAAUGGGCGAAAGCCUGACGCAGCGACGCCGCGUGAGGGAUGACGGCCU
This 388-nucleotide ribosomal RNA is filed under the name uncultured bacterium. RNAcentral describes it as "bacterial SSU rRNA". It matches the Rfam family "Bacterial small subunit ribosomal RNA", at positions 28 to 417 of the family's 1533-position model. The record is from RNAcentral.